RNAcentral lists this ribosomal RNA (481 nucleotides) under uncultured bacterium. RNAcentral's name for it is "partial 16S ribosomal RNA". It matches the Rfam family "Bacterial small subunit ribosomal RNA", at positions 28 to 523 of the family's 1533-position model. The record is from RNAcentral.
GACGAACGCUGGCGGCGUGCUUAACGCAUGCAAGUCGAACGAUGAAGCCGCUUCGGUGGUGGAUUAGUGGCGAACGGGUGAGUAACACGUGGGUAAUCUGCCCUGCACUCUGGGAUAAGCCUUGGAAACGAGGUCUAAUACCGGAUACGACACGUCACCGCAUGGUGUGCGUGUGGAAAGUUCCGGCGGUGCAGGAUGAGCCCGCGGCCUAUCAGCUUGUUGGUGGGGUAGGGGCCUACAAAGGCGACGACGGGUAGCCGGCCUGAGAGGGUGACCGGCCACACUGGGACUGAGACACGGCCCAGACUCCUACGGGAGGCAGCAGUGGGGAAUCUUGCGCAAUGGGCGAAAGCCUGACGCAGCAACGCCGCGUGGGGGAUGACGGCCUUCGGGUUGUAAACCUCUUUCGACAGGGACGAAGCGCGAGUGACGGUACCUGUAGAAGAAGCACCGGCUAACUACGUGCCAGCCGCCGCCGUAA